Molecule: ribosomal RNA, 472 nt
Filed under: uncultured bacterium
Lineage: Bacteria
Description: SSU rRNA
Rfam family: Bacterial small subunit ribosomal RNA
Source: RNAcentral
GAUGAACGCUAGUUACAGGCUUAACACAUGCCAAGUCGAGGGGAAACGAUAUUGGAAGCUUGCUUCCGAUAGGCGUCGACCGGCGCACGGGUGAGUAACGCGUAUCCAACCUGCCCACCACUUGGGGAUAACCUUGCGAAAGUAAGACUAAUACCCGAUGAUAUCCCUAGAAGACAUCUGAAAGGGAUUAAAGAUUUAUCGGUGAUGGAUGGGGAUGCGUCUGAUUAGCUUGUUGGCGGGGUAACGGCCCACCAAGGCAACGAUCAGUAGGGGUUCUGAGAGGAAGGUCCCCCACAUUGGAACUGAGACACGGUCCAAACUCCUACGGGAGGCAGCAGUGAGGAAUAUUGGUCAAUGGGCGAGAGCCUGAACCAGCCAAGUAGCGUGCAGGAUGACGGCCCUAUGGGUUGUAAACUGCUUUUAUAAGGGAAUAAAGUGAGUCUUGUGAGACUUUUUGCAUGUACCUUAUGAA